AUGUGGACUGGAUGCCCAGCGUGAGUGUAUACCGUGAGGGCCUUUGUGCUCUCGGACAGCGUGGAGUGGUCAAGGAAGGCCUCCAGGAGGAAGAGGCGGCCCACCGCCCCAGGCAGCACAGUGCUGCCUCUGGACGGAGGGACGGGAAGUGGCCAGAAGGGGAAGUGUGAGGAGUUCCCGUCCAGCCUGUCAUCAGUCUCCCCAGGUCUUGAAGCGGCGGCCCUGCUCCUGGCCGUGACCAUGGACCCUCUGGAGACCCCUAUCAAGGAUGGCAUCCUCUACCAGCAGCAUGUCAAGUUUGGCAAGGUGGGGACCCCUGGCUGCCAGGCAGCUGCCAAGGACCAACAGUGGGUGGAGAAUGCAGCUUCCGCCCCUGCCUCGGACAGCCCAGGCAGACCUGGGAGACUUGGGAAGGGAGUCAGGGUGGAGGAUCCUACCCAGGUAUGGGGAGUGGAACAGAGUGUGGGUGUCGGCCUGAGACGGCAGGGGCUGAGCAGGCUCUGCCAGACCCUGCCUCCAGGAGAGACGGGAAUACAGGAGCGGGAGAGGGUCGAAGGCUCAAACCUCCCAGCAGGGAAGAGCUUCACGGCCUCUGACCCAUGAAAUAGUGCCACCGAGGGCCCUAAAUAGGGUGAGGAGCUGAGCUGGAGGAGGCCCCAAGGGUGGAGCCCCUCCCUGCAGUGGCACUGUCCUGGGAGCAAGGAGGCAGGGGUGUCACCUCUCCUCGGCAGCAGCCCCACACCCCCGCAGCUCAGCUGCAGCUGCUGCCCAGGCAGAUAAACCGUCAGUUUCCUUUACUCGAAGCUAUUUGCAUGUUUCCUUCCUUAACAGCGUGAGGCGGAGGCCUCCCUCCCACCCCAGCUCUUGGCCUGUGGCCCAAGUGCCCCUUUUUGGGGGUGGGAGGGAACCAACAUCAUGGCAGUGUCUGAUGGUCUGCCUGGCCACUGGAUGCUUUACAAACAUGACCCAGUAGCAGCCCCAGCUCGAGUUCCAUGG
This 996-nucleotide small RNA is filed under the name Pongo abelii (Sumatran orangutan). Its description in RNAcentral is "retained intron". The record is from RNAcentral. Lineage: Eukaryota; Metazoa; Chordata; Mammalia; Primates; Hominidae.